CCUACGGGGUGCAGCAGUGAGGAAUAUUGGGCAAUGGACGAGAGUCUGAACCAGCCAAGUAGCGUGAAGGAUGACUGCCCUAUGGGUUGUAAACUUCUUUUAUAUGGGAAUAAACUGUUCCACGUGUGGGAUUUUGUAUGUCCCAUAUGAAUAAGGAUCGGCUAACUCCGUGCCAGCAGCCGCGGUAAUCCGGAGGAUCCGAGCGUUAUCCGGAUUUAUUGGGUUUAAAGGGAGCGUAGGUGGAUUGUUAAGUCAGUUGUGAAAGUCUGCGGCUCAACCGUGAAAUUGCAGUUGAAACUGGUAGUCUUGAGUACAGUAGAGGUGGGCGGAAUUCGUGGUGUAGCGGUGAAAUGCUUAGAUAUCACGAAGAACUCCGAUUGCGAAGGCAGCUCACUGGACUGCAACUGACGCUGAGGCACGAAAGUGUGGGGAUCAAACAGGAUUAGAUACCCGGGUAGUC
This 460-nucleotide ribosomal RNA is filed under the name uncultured bacterium. RNAcentral describes it as "partial 16S ribosomal RNA". It matches the Rfam family "Bacterial small subunit ribosomal RNA", at positions 338 to 795 of the family's 1533-position model. The record is from RNAcentral.